Molecule: non-coding RNA, 792 nt
Organism: Carica papaya (papaya)
Lineage: Eukaryota; Viridiplantae; Streptophyta; Magnoliopsida; Brassicales; Caricaceae
Source: RefSeq, a predicted model, not a curated record
GCAUGACCUGACCUAAUCUGUCAGUCUAAUUUCGGUUACAAAAUGUAGGGUUUGAUGGUUUCUACCUUUAACUUUAACUAACUAGUGUUCUGAUCAGGUUAAGAAUCAGAGCCAAAACUCAAUCUCCACCGCCCAGGACUACUGGACUUCUCAAAAGGGUUAGGGCAUGUUGUGGAGGUAAAUCCUGAUAUGGUGUGUGAUUUCAUCUGACACAGAUAAGAUGAUUAGCUGUCGGAGGUACAGGUUGGAGCUGGAAUGCACUGCCUGACCCUUAAGAUAUGGUUCUGCAAGUUGGAUCUGAUAACUUUUUUUUUCCUUCAAAAUCUUUAAUGCCAACCCAACACACAACACACAACAAGGUGGAUUCCUGCAGAGACUGUGGAUGAAGUUGCAGAUAUAUGUCCAGUUCUCUUGCACCUUGAGGGGCUAACUCCAUAACUACUCUCUGAUCGUGAGUGAACAGUGGCAAUCAUAAAGCUUUUACCCAUAAACAUGAGAAAAUCCAUGUGUUGUAUUUCAAGACAGAAAGGUCCAAAUUAGAGACUUGCUUAACACGGAUGAGAAAUCAAGGUAUUCGACAUGUUGAGAGAAGGCACUAUAUUCGGGACAAUUUGGUUCCUUAGGCUCAUAUCCACCAAGUGGGUACCACUAGAUUGGGGCAUGCGUUAGAGGAGUUGUCUCUCCUUUUAUACCUUAAUAAUUAUGAUACUUUCUAAUCUCGAUUGACUGACUACUAGAUUUUUUGUACUUUCUCUUUACUGGUUACAAAAAAAGACUAUUUUCUUACUCAUG